RNAcentral lists this ribosomal RNA (349 nucleotides) under uncultured bacterium. Its description in RNAcentral is "bacterial SSU rRNA". It matches the Rfam family "Bacterial small subunit ribosomal RNA", at positions 8 to 349 of the family's 1533-position model. The record is from RNAcentral.
AGAGUUUGAUCCUGGCUCAGGAUGAACGCUAGCUACAGGCUUAACACAUGCAAGUCGAGGGGCAGCAUGGUCUUAGCUUGCUAAGGCUGAUGGCGACCGGCGCACGGGUGAGUAACACGUAUCCAACCUGCCGUCUACUCUUGGCCAGCCUUCUGAAAGGAAGAUUAAUCCAGGAUGGGAUCAUGAGUUCACAUGUCCGCAUGAUUAAAGGUAUUUUCCGGUAGACGAUGGGGAUGCGUUCCAUUAGAUAGUAGGCGGGUAACGGCCACCUAGUCAACGAUGGAUAGGGGUUCUGAGAGGAAGGUCCCCCACAUUGGAACUGAGACACGGUCCAAACUCCUACGGAGCA